CAGGAGGAACCAGAAGAGCUGUCUGAUAGUGACUUUGAAAGUCCAGUCUGCCGGAGAAGACGAGAUUAUCACAGGUGAUUACAGCCAAGGAGGAAUAUGUGCCCAACUUUCACUUGAACUAAUAUAAGGAUAUAUAUGUAAAGGCUCUGUUAACAUUAUGAAGCAAGUCAUGCUGACCUUCUUUCCUUUGUUCAGUGCAUCAUGCGUUGCCUACAACACCAGGUGAAAGUGAGGCCAAGCAUCAGGAAACAGAGGGCUGCAUUCAGGAGAGUGAAAAUGAGGGACAGGCAGAGGGACAGCAGAUGUUUCCAUAUAAUGUGGCAGAAUUUGUGUAAGCUGUUGUCUAGGGGUUAAAGACAUCCUUCAUUUUAGAUGUUGUUUAGGAUAUUGUUUCGAUGCAGGUUUCCAAUUUGCAUGUUUGGGUUUUUUUUUUUGGGUUUUUUUUUUUGGUGAAUGACUGCAACUUUAGGAUUUACAUUUAAUUUUUUUUUUUUUAAUGAUGUAGUGUGAGAAAUUCUUCAAGGCUGACAUGUUUUAUGAUUUCUAAUAUCUCUUGUCUACUUAGCCCUAUUUUUCUGGAGGAAGAUGAAGCUCUUGAAGAGGCAAUUCAGCGUAGCCUCCUAGAAGAGUCUGAUAGACAGAGUGAAGUUCAUAUUUCAAGGUCUUUUAAGAAGCUCAGCAAAGAAGAAAUUGAAGGUCAUGGUGAACAUGAGGAACAAGACAACUCCAUAUCAGUCGAGCCAAUGUGUGGUCGACUGCUUUGCGUCAGUUCAAGAGACCCAAGUUUGCAGAAAGCUGUGAGAUGCUUUAUGUCACAUUUGCAAGCGAUGAACAUGAUACAGAGGAAGAUGCUGCUGACCUUGGGGGGCCAAGGCGUAUGGAGGACCACAAGAGCCACGC
This is a long non-coding RNA of Oreochromis aureus, 900 nucleotides long. The record is from Ensembl. NCBI's taxonomy places the organism in Eukaryota, Metazoa, Chordata, Actinopteri, Cichliformes, Cichlidae.